CUGCCAGACUCCUACGGGAGGCAGCAGUGAGGAAUAUUGGUCAAUGGGCGAGAGCCUGAACCAGCCAAGUCGCGUGAGGGAGUACUGUCCUAUGGGUUGUAAACCUCUUUUGUCGGGGAGCAAAGCGAACCACGUGUGGUUCAUUGAGAGUACUCGAAGAAAAAGCAUCGGCUAACUCCGUGCCAGCAGCCGCGGUAAUGCGGAGGAUGCGAGCGUUAUCCGGAUUUAUUGGGUUUAAAGGGUGCGCAGGCGGAGGUGCAAGUCAGCGGUCAAAUUGCGGGGCUCAACCCCGUACUGCCGUUGAAACUGCAUCCCUUGAGUGCGCGAGAAGUAUGCGGAAUGCGUGGUGUAGCGGUGAAAUGCAUAGAUAUCACGCAGAACUCCGAUUGCGAAGGCAGCAUACCGGCGCGCAACUGACGCUCGUGCACGAAAGCGUGGGUAUCGAACAGGAUUAGAUACCCGGGUAC
RNAcentral lists this ribosomal RNA (467 nucleotides) under uncultured bacterium. RNAcentral describes it as "bacterial SSU rRNA". It matches the Rfam family "Bacterial small subunit ribosomal RNA", at positions 328 to 793 of the family's 1533-position model. The record is from RNAcentral.